AAGUCGUAACAAGGUUUCCGUAGGUGAACCUGCGGAAGGAUCAUUAUAAAAUAAAACAAAGCAAUCUUUGCUUUUAUAAAUAACUAUUUUAUUAGAUUAGGUAUCUAGUUAAUAACUAUUUACCGAAAUAAUUUAAUAUACUAUUGUAGAGCUUUUUUAGGUUUACCCUAAUAAUCUCUAUAAACCAAUAAAUCAAUAAUCCUUUAAAUUACUAGUCUAAUUAUUUAGAUAAAUAAUUUAAAGUGGUAUAGAAAGUGAGGAGUACUAUUAGAUAUAAUAUUUUAUAUUGAUAUAGGAGACUCAUGCAAAACUUUAUAACCAGAAUUCAUUUUACAUUUAUUUAAUAAAAACAAAUAACUUUUAACAAUGGAUCUCUUGGCUAAU
This 384-nucleotide unclassified non-coding RNA is filed under the name fungal sp. Its description in RNAcentral is "partial internal transcribed spacer region". The stretch from base 1 to 46 matches the Rfam family "Eukaryotic small subunit ribosomal RNA", at positions 1786 to 1831 of the family's 1831-position model. The record is from RNAcentral. Lineage: Eukaryota; Fungi.